UGAAGUAAAAAAUUCGUAACAAGGUUUCCGUAGGUGAACCUGCGGAAGGAUCAUUACAACAAUAAUUCAACAUUGUGUCAGAGCAAUAACAUCUAAAACCGAUCAUCAAUUAAUUAAUUCAAAACUUUCAACAACGGAUCUCUAGGUUCUCGCAUCGAUGAAGAACGCAGCGAAAUGCGAUACGUAGUACGAAACGCAAGUCGUGAAUCAUCGAAUCUUUGAACGCACAUUGCGCUGUGUGGCAUUCCACACAGCAUGCCUGUUUGAGCAAUAUUUCUCUCUCGCAAGGUGUUGGGCACCACGCCGGCAGGCGUCUGCCAGAAACGAAAUUGUCUAAAACAGUUAAGCUUGUUACAGACUCUUGAUCUUAUUCUCAAAUCAGGUAGGACUACCCGCUGAACUUAAGCAUAUCAAUAAAGCGGGAGGAAAA
RNAcentral lists this ribosomal RNA (430 nucleotides) under Diutina rugosa. Its description in RNAcentral is "eukaryotic LSU rRNA". The stretch from base 123 to 273 matches the Rfam family "5.8S ribosomal RNA". Lineage: Eukaryota; Fungi; Ascomycota; Pichiomycetes; Serinales; Debaryomycetaceae. The record is from RNAcentral.